GGCGUACAGGAGUGAACGGCUGGCGGCGUGCUACACAUAGCAAGUCGAACGGGGAGUAUAUUGGAAUGAGGAUUCGUCUGAAGGAAAAUAGUAUCUUAGUGGCGGACGGGUGAGUAACGCGUGGGCAACCUACCGUAUACAGGGGGAUAACACUUAGAAAUAGGUGCUAAUACCGCAUAAGCGCACAGCAGUGCAUACUGGAGUGUGAAAGCCGAGACGGUAUACGAUGGGCCCGCGUCUGAUUAGCCAGUUGGCAGGGUAACGGCCUCCAAAGCGACGAUCAGUAGCCGGCCUGAGAGGGCGGACGGCCACAUUGGGACUGAGACACGGCCCAGACUCCUACGAGAGGCAGCAGUGGGGGAUAUUGCACAAUGGGGGGAACCCUGAUGCAGCGACGCCGCGUGAGUGAAGAAGUAAUUCGUUAUGUAAAGCUCUAUCAGCAGGGAAGAAGUAAAUGACGGUACCUGAGUAAGAAGCCCCGGCUAACUACGUG
This 493-nucleotide ribosomal RNA is filed under the name uncultured Lachnospiraceae bacterium. Its description in RNAcentral is "bacterial SSU rRNA". It matches the Rfam family "Bacterial small subunit ribosomal RNA", at positions 35 to 507 of the family's 1533-position model. Lineage: Bacteria; Bacillati; Bacillota; Clostridia; Lachnospirales; Lachnospiraceae. The record is from RNAcentral.